RNAcentral lists this long non-coding RNA (231 nucleotides) under Lathyrus oleraceus (garden pea). RNAcentral describes it as "Pisum sativum (pea) long non-coding RNA (PSAT_LNC039455)". Lineage: Eukaryota; Viridiplantae; Streptophyta; Magnoliopsida; Fabales; Fabaceae. The record is from RNAcentral.
UCAGAUACAUCUAUAUGCAAUAGAUCAGCAAUCUCUUAGGAAGAAGGAACUCUCUCCAAGCCAUUGAACGGCAACUGAUCUAAGAUAGGUAUACCCACAAGAUAGGUAUACUCCUAAAGCGUAGGCAAAAGCUGGAAAUCCGGGAAAGUGAAGCAACGAUACAAGGGAUCAUAGAACUGCACCAACACACUCAUCAGACCUUCAUCCACCUGAGUAGCAAGAAUAGACAGA